UCGAAGAUUAGAGUUUGAUCCUGGCUCAGGAUGAACGCUGGCGGCGUGGAUAAGGCAUGCAAGUCGAACGGACUUCAUUUUUCCAGAGAUGCGAUUACAUCAAGUCAAAGGUCGUUUGAAGUUAGUGGCGAACGAGGUAGUAAUAUAUAGGAACUUCCCCCUAAGUCGUGAACAACGUACCGAAAGGUGCGCUAAUACACGAUAGUCUCCCCGGAGUAAAGUUUUUCGCUUAGGGAAAGGCCUGUAAAGUAUCAGCUAGUUGGCAGUGUAAUGGACUACCAAGGCUAUGACGCUUAGGGGAGCUGAGAGGCUGACCCCCACCGAUGGGACUGAGACACGGCCCAUACACCUACGGGUGGCUGCAGUCGAGAAUCUUCCGCAAUGGACGAAAGUCUGACGGAGCGACGCCGCGUGAUUGAUGAAGCUUUUCGGAGUGUAAAGAUCUUUUAUGAGGGAAGAAGUUUAUUGACGGUACCUCAUGAAUAAGGGGCUCCUAAUCUCGUGCCAGCAGGAGCGGUAAUACGAGAGCCCCGAGCGUUAUCCGGAAUUAUUGGGCGUAAAGGGUGCGUAGGUGGUAGUGUUAGUCGUUUGUCAAAUCUCUGGGCUUAACCUAGAAACCGCGAACGAAACGGCACAACUAGAGAGUGUGAGGGGUAUAGGGAACUCAUGGUGUAGGGGUGAAAUCCGUUGAUAUCAUGGGGAACACCAAAAGCGAAGGCACUAUACUGGCACAUAUCUGACACUCAAGCACGAAAGCGUGGGUAGCGAAUGGGAUUAGAUACCCCAGUAGUCCACGCCCUAAACGAUGAUCUCUAGUCUUUCGGAGUAUCGACCCUCUGAGAGACGUAGCAAACGCGUUAAGAGAUCCGCCUGGGAAGUACGGCCGCAAGGCUAAAACUCAAAGGAAUAGACGGGGACUUGCACAAGUAGUGGAUUAUGUGGUUUAAUUCGACGAUAAACGAAGAACCUUACCAAGGUUAGAAAUCAACGUGAAAGCCCCGAGAAACCGGGGCCCUCGCAAGACUAGUUGACAGGUGAUGCAUGGCCGUCGUCAGUUCGUGGUUUGAAUUGUUCCCUUAAGUGGGGUAACGAACGCAACCCUCGUCGUGUGUUACAAGUGUCACACGAGACUGCCCCGACCCAAGUAAAUAAUUACUUUAGUAAUUGUUUGUUUCGGUCGGGGAGGAAGGGGAGGAUGACGCCAGGUCAGCAUGUCCCUUGAUACCUUGGGCUACACACAUAAUACAAUCGCAAUUACAACGGGCAGCGACGAGGUAACUCUGAGCAAAUCCUAAUAAAAAUUGCGCCAGUUCGGAUUGGGGGCUGCAACUCGACCCCAUGAAGUUGGAAUUACUAGUAAUCGCGGGUCAGACAUACCGCGGUGAAUACGUUCUCAAGUCUUGUACUCACCGCCCGUCAAUUCAAGGGAGCCGGGAGUACUCGAAAUCUCUCCACACGGAGGGCCUACAGUAAGCUCGGUGACAGGGAAUAAGUCGUAACAAGGUAACCAUCUCUAGAGG
This 1520-nucleotide ribosomal RNA is filed under the name uncultured bacterium. RNAcentral's name for it is "bacterial SSU rRNA". It matches the Rfam family "Bacterial small subunit ribosomal RNA". The record is from RNAcentral.